GCAAGUCGAGCGAAUCAAUGGGAGCUUGCUCCCUGAGAUUAGCGGCGGACGGGUGAGUAACACGUGGGUAACCUGCCUGUAAGAUUGGGAUAACUCCGGGAAACCGGAGCUAAUACCGGAUAACAUUUUGAACCGCAUGGUUCAAAGUUGAAAGAUGGUUUCGGCUAUCACUUACAGAUGGACCCGCGGCGCAUUAGCUAGUUGGUGAGGUAACGGCUCACCAAGGCAACGAUGCGUAGCCGACCUGAGAGGGUGAUCGGCCACACUGGGACUGAGACACGGCCCAGACUCCUACGGGAGGCAGCAGUAGGGAAUCUUCCGCAAUGGACGAAAGUCUGACGGAGCAACGCCGCGUGAACGAUGAAGGCCUUCGGGUCGUAAAGUUCUGUUGUUAGGGAAGAACAAGUACCAGAGUAACUGCUGGUACCUUGACGGUACCUAACCAGAAAGCCACGGCUAACUACGUGCCAGCAGCCGCGGUAAUACGUAGGUGGCAAGCGUUGUCCGGAAUUAUUGGGCGUAAAGCGUACGCAGGCGGUUUCUUAAGUCUGAUGUGAAAGCCCACGGCUCAACCGUGGAGGGUCAUUGGAAACUGGGGAACUUGAGUACAGAAGAGGAGAGUGGAAUUCC
RNAcentral lists this ribosomal RNA (630 nucleotides) under Bacillus sp. (in: firmicutes). Its description in RNAcentral is "bacterial SSU rRNA". It matches the Rfam family "Bacterial small subunit ribosomal RNA", at positions 57 to 670 of the family's 1533-position model. The record is from RNAcentral. Lineage: Bacteria; Bacillati; Bacillota; Bacilli; Caryophanales; Bacillaceae.